Molecule: ribosomal RNA, 497 nt
Filed under: uncultured bacterium
Lineage: Bacteria
Description: partial 16S ribosomal RNA
Rfam family: Bacterial small subunit ribosomal RNA
Source: RNAcentral
GAUGAACGCUGGCGGCGUGCCUAAUACAUGCAAGUCGAGCGAACAGACGAGGAGCUUGCUCCUCUGACGUUAGCGGCGGACGGGUGAGUAACACGUGGAUAACCUACCUAUAAGACUGGGAUAACUUCGGGAAACCGGAGCUAAUACCGGAUAAUAUAUUGAACCGCAUGGUUCAAUAGUGAAAGACGGUUUUGCUGUCACUUAUAGAUGGAUCCGCGCCGCAUUAGCUAGUUGGUAAGGUAACGGCUUACCAAGGCAACGAUGCGUAGCCGACCUGAGAGGGUGAUCGGCCACACUGGAACUGAGACACGGACCAGACUCCUACGGGAGGCAGCAGUAGGGAAUCUUCCGCAAUGGGCGAAAGCUUGACGGAGCAACGCCGCGUGAGUGAUGAAGGUCUUCGGAUCGUAAAACUCUGUUAUUAGGGAAGAACAAAUGUGUAAGUAACUAUGCACGUCUUGACGGUACCUAAUCAGAAAGCCACGGCUAACUACGUG